GAUGAACGCUGGCGGCGUGCCUAAUACAUGCAAGUCGAGCGAACAGAUAAGGAGCUUGCUCCUUUGACGUUAGCGGCGGACGGGUGAGUAACACGUGGGUAACCUACCUAUAAGACUGGGAUAACUUCGGGAAACCGGAGCUAAUACCGGAUAACAUUUGGAACCGCAUGGUUCUAAAGUGAAAGAUGGUUUUGCUAUCACUUAUAGAUGGACCCGCGCCGUAUUAGCUAGUUGUUAAGGUAACGGCUUACCAAGGCGACGAUACGUAGCCGACCUGAGAGGGUGAUCGGCCACACUGGAACUGAGACACGGUCCAGACUCCUAAGGGAGGCAGCAGUAGGGAAUCUUCCGCAAUGGGCGAAAGCCUGACGGAGCAACGCCGCGUGAGUGAUGAAGGGUUUCGGCUCGUAAAACUCUGUUAUUAGGGAAGAACAAACGUGUAAGUAACUGUGCACGUCUUGACGGUACCUAAUCAGAAAGCCACGGCUAACUACGUG
This 497-nucleotide ribosomal RNA is filed under the name uncultured bacterium. RNAcentral describes it as "partial 16S ribosomal RNA". It matches the Rfam family "Bacterial small subunit ribosomal RNA", at positions 28 to 507 of the family's 1533-position model. The record is from RNAcentral.